CCUACGGGAGGCAGCAGUGGGGAAUAUUGGGCAAUGGGCGCAAGCCUGACCCAGCAACGCCGCGUGAAGGAAGAAGGCUUUCGGGUUGUAAACUUCUUUUCUCAGGGACGAAGAAAGUGACGGUACCUGAGGAAUAAGCCACGGCUAACUCCGUGCCAGCAGCCGCGGUAAUACGGAGGAUGCGAGCGUUAUCCGGAUUUAUUGGGUUUAAAGGGUGCGUAGGCGGGAUGCCAAGUCAGCGGUAAAAAUGCGGUGCUCAACGCCGUCGAGCCGUUGAAACUGGCGUUCUUGAGUGGGCGAGAAGUAUGCGGAAUGCGUGGUGUAGCGGUGAAAUGCAUAGAUAUCACGCAGAACUCCGAUUGCGAAGGCAGCAUACCGGCGCCCUACUGACGCUGAGGCACGAAAGCGUGGGUAUCGAACAGGAUUAGAUACCCUUGUAGUC
This 442-nucleotide ribosomal RNA is filed under the name uncultured bacterium. Its description in RNAcentral is "partial 16S ribosomal RNA". It matches the Rfam family "Bacterial small subunit ribosomal RNA", at positions 338 to 795 of the family's 1533-position model. The record is from RNAcentral.